This 204-nucleotide unclassified non-coding RNA is filed under the name Hevea brasiliensis (rubber tree). Lineage: Eukaryota; Viridiplantae; Streptophyta; Magnoliopsida; Malpighiales; Euphorbiaceae. The record is from RNAcentral.
AAUGAAGCCCUCCACGGCUGCCAUCCCUUUUGUCCUUUUCUGGUUUUCAAUACUCUUGCAUUCUAUUGCCGAUCAAGCCUUCGAUGUCCGUCAACACCUCUCCACCGUAACAAGAUAUGGUGCUGUGAAAGAUGUGGGUAAUAGUUCCUCUUUACAGUUUAGUAUUCAUGAGGGAUGCACUCCUAUCCACUUAAACCUUGUGGC